Molecule: long non-coding RNA, 793 nt
Filed under: Homo sapiens (human)
Lineage: Eukaryota; Metazoa; Chordata; Mammalia; Primates; Hominidae
Description: non-protein coding lnc-GOLM1-1:1
Source: RNAcentral
AAAGUCGGAUUGGCUAACAUGAGGUUACUUUUUGUGUAAAAAUUAAAGCAGAGAGGACUUCCUUAUUGCACUGACACAGGUAGACUGGAAUCUUCUGUUCUCAAGAAAAACUAGUCUAUGUUGGAUCUAUCUGCUUCCUUAAAGCUUCUAUUUGAUGACGAGGCAUUUAGCAUGAAUGACUCCAUUUUGGUUUGGUCUCGUCUGUUGGGGCCUAGUACAGGAGUUCAGUCCAAAAUAACGGGCUCCCAUAAUUUUGUUUAACAGCCUAAACUUAAGUUCUUCAGUGAUCUGAAUCCUCAGCUAGACCAAAAUCUUCUGCUAAGUUGCUCUCCUUUUGACUGUCUGGCUGAGCUGUUGAAGGCCACAAAAUAUUUAGCAGGGCUCUUAUCUCUGAAUUGAACAUGUGCCUAGGGGUAUCAAACAGAACAAGACUCCAGAUAGUAAGUAAAUAGUCCUUUUUCUUAUGACAGCUACUUAAUCUGUAACAAAACAAGCAAACAUAAAAGCUAAGUGAUAUCUAAAGCUUACCACCAAGAAAAUAAGUUAGCAACUGAACAAAGCGCCUUCCUUCAGGCUAGAUCUUACAUACACACACAGUAUCGACUUCAAGCCACUUCAGAAGAGACUCAGAAAGCUGCUGCGCCUGGCCUUGCCCUUAGGUUUGUUAGCUUCAGGGUCACAGUCCCAGCGGGGAGCUGACCCAUUAGUCACACCUGCUUCACAGCCCUGCCAGCACUCACGGGGCCCAAUGAGAAGCCACAGGCAUGUUGGUAGCCAGGCCAGGAGACCCAAG